This is a long non-coding RNA of Aedes aegypti (yellow fever mosquito), 810 nucleotides long. RefSeq lists it as uncharacterized. The record is from RefSeq and is a predicted model, not a curated record. The transcript is spliced from 2 exons. NCBI's taxonomy places the organism in Eukaryota, Metazoa, Arthropoda, Insecta, Diptera, Culicidae.
GAAUAAUAACGAGGUGCAAAAAGGAGAAAGCAAAUCGCCAACUUGUCACAGUCAGUCAGAUUAGCUUUGAGCAAACUGUUCUUCUAGAAGAUCUAGCUCAACGCAUUCAUAUCUGUGAGUGAGUGAUUAUUUGCCAUGCAAAAUAAAUCAACGAUUCGCUUCAAAGGCACGGGCAAAUGUCAAGGCUAAGUAACAGCAAACAUUUCACCACCCAUCUAAGGCCAACAAUCACCCAUCGUCAUGCAGGGCUAUGAUUUAUGGUUUCUCAUUCAACCGUCACGAAUAAACUUUUUGCCACCACAAGACGACGGCCACCACCAGCAUGAGUGUCAAUUCGUAUAGCAGGGUCCCAGCUAGCAGAAGAAGUUCAUUAUCGUCCAUCCAUCCAUUCAGUCAGCCGCAUCCAUAUGGAUCUGCCCGCCUACAUGAUGUGGAAUCUCGAGUGCGUCUCCUUAUUCCCGUCCGCUUGAACGUCCAUCGGUUGCAUCGUCCAGCGUCGACAGAACGGACAGAAAUGGCAAACAAACGGACACAUAUUGGAUUUCUGUUGCGGAUGGAUCUUAUGCGUCGUCGUGCAGUGCGUGAUGUCUGCAAUGAAGGUUGAAUGUGUGACAUUCGAUUACAUUUUUUAUUCGGAAUACAUUCAUCGAACAAUGUUGCAACAUGCAGAUUGGGAAAUACAUUUUUUUUUUUUGCAUGCGUGACAAAGUUUGUGAGAAUCAUACAGAUAGGAACAAUACAAAUUCGCUAUUUGACAGUAGAACAAAUAAGAAAAAUCUCGAAAUACAGUGAAAUUUGUCAUUAGGAGAA